RNAcentral lists this ribosomal RNA (466 nucleotides) under uncultured bacterium. RNAcentral describes it as "partial 16S ribosomal RNA". It matches the Rfam family "Bacterial small subunit ribosomal RNA", at positions 28 to 505 of the family's 1533-position model. The record is from RNAcentral.
GACGAACGCUGGCGGCGUGCUUAACACAUGCAAGUCGAACGGAAAGGCCCUGCUUUUGUGGGGUGCUCGAGUGGCGAACGGGUGAGUAACACGUGAGUAACCUGCCCUUGACUUUGGGAUAACUUCAGGAAACUGGGGCUAAUACCGGAUAGGAGCUCCUGCUGCAUGGUGGGUGUUGGAAAGUUUCGGCGGUUGGGGAUGGACUCGCGGCUUAUCAGCUUGUUGGUGGGGUAGUGGCUUACCAAGGCUUUGACGGGUAGCCGGCCUGAGAGGGUGACCGGCCACAUUGGGACUGAGAUACGGCCAAGACUCCUACGGGAGGCGGCAGUGGGGAAUAUUGCACAAUGGGCGGAAGCCUGAUGCAGCAACGCCGCGUGCGGGAUGACGGCCUUCGGGUUGUAAACCGCUUUCGCCUGUGACGAAGCGUGAGUGACGGUAAUGGGUAAAGAAGCACCGGCUAACUACG